Molecule: ribosomal RNA, 775 nt
Filed under: uncultured Neocallimastigales
Lineage: Eukaryota; Fungi; Neocallimastigomycota; Neocallimastigomycetes; Neocallimastigales
Description: partial large subunit ribosomal RNA
Rfam family: Eukaryotic large subunit ribosomal RNA
Source: RNAcentral
UCAGACGAUGCGUCAUGCAUAUCAAUAAGCGGAGGAAAAGAAACUAACAAGGAUUCCCUUAGUAACGGCGAGUGAAGCGGGAAGAGCUCAAAUUUGAAAUCUUCAAGGUUUUACCUUGACGAAUUGUAGUUUAAAGAAGUGUUUUCUGCUGAAGUUUUGGUAAAAGUUCUUUGGAAUAGGACAUCAUAGAGGGUGAGAAUCCCGUAUUUGACCAUUAUUUUCAGCUUUGUGAUACACUUUCAAAGAGUCGGAUUGUUUGGGAAUGCAGUCCAAAAUGGGUGGUAAAUUUCAUCUAAAGCUAAAUAUUGGCGAGAGACCGAUAGCGAACAAGUACCGUGAGGGAAAGAUGAAAAGAACUUUGAAAAGAGAGUUAAACAGUACGUGAAAUUGUCAAAAGGGAAGCGUUUGACACCAGUGUUGUUUUCUCGAAAAUCAAUUAAAAAUGGCUCGAUUUUGUAUUGCUUGAGACCUUAAAAGCUCACUGUACAUUUUUCGUGUCUUUUUUAAUGCACUUUUCGUUUAACAAGUCAACAUCAGUUUCUUUUGUUGUAAAAGGGUCAUUGGAAGGUGGCUUUCUUUUCGGAGAAAGUGUUUAUAGCCUUUGGCCUCUGCAAUCGGAGAGACUGAGGUCUGCAGCGUAGACUCUUCGGGGUUAGAUACAUUUGUGCUAAGUUAAAGCUUUUUAUAGACAACUUGUUGGCUAUAAUUAGUCUUGUAGCUUACUCGCUUAUGCUAUUUUACCUACGCUUAGGAUGUUGAACUACUGAGACAUAGA